Molecule: ribosomal RNA, 425 nt
Filed under: uncultured bacterium
Lineage: Bacteria
Description: bacterial SSU rRNA
Rfam family: Bacterial small subunit ribosomal RNA
Source: RNAcentral
GGGGAAUUUUGGACAAUGGGCGCAAGCCUGAUCCAGCCAUGCCGCGUGAGUGAAGAAGGCCUUCGGGUUGUAAAGCUCUUUCGGCCGGGAAGAAAUCGCAUUCUCUAAUAUAGGAUGCGGAUGACGGUACCGGACUAAGAAGCACCGGCUAACUACGUGCCAGCAGCCGCGGUAAUACGUAGGGUGCGAGCGUUAAUCGGAAUUACUGGGCGUAAAGCGUGCGCAGGCGGUUUUGUAAGACAGAUGUGAAAUCCCCGGGCUUAACCUGGGAACUGCGUUUGUGACUGCAAGGCUAGAGUACGGCAGAGGGGGGUGGAAUUCCUGGUGUAGCAGUGAAAUGCGUAGAUAUCAGGAGGAACACCGAUGGCGAAGGCAGCCCCCUGGGCCUGUACUGACGCUCAUGCACGAAAGCGUGGGGAGCAAAC